UACGUAGGGGGCAAGCGUUAUCCGGAUUUACUGGGUGUAAAGGGAGCGCAGGUGGCAGCUCAAGUCUGAAGUGAAAACCCUCGGCUCAACUGAGGGAUUGCUUUGGAAACUGAGUUGCUGGAGUACUGGAGGGGUAAGUGGAAUUCCUGGUGUAGCGGUGAAAUGCGUAGAUAUCAGGAGGAACACCGGUGGCGAAGGCGGCUUACUGGACAGUAACUGACACUGAGGCUCGAAAGCGUGGGGGGCAAAC
RNAcentral lists this ribosomal RNA (250 nucleotides) under uncultured prokaryote. RNAcentral's name for it is "partial 16S ribosomal RNA". It matches the Rfam family "Bacterial small subunit ribosomal RNA", at positions 524 to 773 of the family's 1533-position model. The record is from RNAcentral.